This 468-nucleotide ribosomal RNA is filed under the name uncultured bacterium. RNAcentral's name for it is "partial 16S ribosomal RNA". It matches the Rfam family "Bacterial small subunit ribosomal RNA", at positions 28 to 507 of the family's 1533-position model. The record is from RNAcentral.
GACGAACGCUGGCGGCGUGCUUAACACAUGCAAGUCGAACGGACAGGCCCUGCUUUUGUUGGGUGCUCGAUUGGCGAACGGGUGAGUAAAACCUGAGUAACCUGCCCUUGUCUUUUGGAUAACUUCAGGAAACUGGGGCUAAUACCCGAUAUGAUCUCCUGCUCCAUGGUGGUGGUUGGAAAGUUUCGGCUGUUCGGGAUGGACUCGAGGCUUAUCCGCUUGUUUGUGGACUAGUGGCUUAACAAGGCUUUGACGGGUAGGCGGCAUAAGAGGGUUACCGGCGACAUUGGGACUAAGAUAGGGCACAGACGCGUACGGGAGGCAGCAGUGGGGAAUAUUACACAGUGGGCGGAAGUGAGAGGCAGCAACGUCGCGUGCGGGAUAACGGCUUACGGGGGGUGAACAGCUGUGGACGGUAACGAAGAGUGAGUGACGGUAAUGGGUAAAGAAGCAACGGCUAACUACGUG